This 1281-nucleotide long non-coding RNA is filed under the name Dromaius novaehollandiae (emu). RNAcentral describes it as "lncRNA (ENSDNVG00000004100.1)". The record is from RNAcentral. Lineage: Eukaryota; Metazoa; Chordata; Aves; Casuariiformes; Dromaiidae.
CUGAGGGGAGCGCGGCGGCGAGACGGCCCGGGAAGCGGCUCAUGGGGCCCGGCCCGGCCCGGGGUUACCGCGGCCGGCGGGGAGCGCGGCAGAGCCGUUGCUGCGGUAGCGCUGCCGCCGCGAAGGUGUUUUCGCGGCCGGUCAGCCGCGCUGCCAAGGAGCAAACUGCGAAUGUUAGGAAAAUAAAUGGCUCUUACAGUAAUAAUCAGUGUUAGCUGAGCGAGCCGGUGAGGCAGAGGCGACAGACCCGUGACCGCUUCGAGUCCGGAGAGGGAGCCCCGUCCUUCACAAAGCUCACUCAAGUCGCGAGGGCUGAGCAGAGGGGUGAGGGCAGAGCAGAGCCCCGCGGGUCUGGCUAGGCAGAGGCGCCGGGCUGUGUUCCCUGCUCCCACCUGCAGGAAAUGUGUAUGCUAAUUAACGGCCCAGAUUAUAUAGCAGACAACRAUCCCGUGCAUGCUUCUACCCUAAGUUUUUAAGAAUUCGUACACAGAGGAAAAAUAAACAUCCAGAUGCAGAGCUGUUAAUGCUAAGAAUCGAAGGAGAGGUGGCAGAAGUAUGGGUGGAGACGUGUCCUCUKCACACUGUGGAUAACAAGAAGGAGAAAAAGCCUGUGUGUGAGUGGGACAAGGUUAGCUCUCCAGCCACCCUCUGCAGAACUGAAACCAGGCUGCAGAGAAGGUGCCUCAAGUUGACCUUUUCCUGUAGCCUGGGUUGGAGGCAGCCAGCUGUUCUUGAAAGCCUUCUCAGUGGCUGAAGCCUGGAAGCAGCAACAUAUGAAACAGUGUUCUUGUCUCAGCUGAACUAAAGUACAUCCUCUGUCACGAAGACAGGUGGGUAAAAGACUUGUUCUUCCCUUGGGGACAGACUAAGAUAAUAUGCAAGGAUUCUUUCAUUUUUUUUGGCUGGCUUCUCACUGAGUUGUUUGCAUCCUGCUGAAGUGUCCUGUAACUGAGAUGUGAAUAAUUCAGCUCCACCUUUAAGGGACCUUCUUUGACCAUCCAAAGGGCUCUGCAGAAAUAGUCUGUCACAUGCACUGAUGUAYGGAGGAAGCGUUGAGCAGGAGUUGYRGCUAGCCAUGUGCCUUAGAGAACAGCAGCAGCACCACCGCAAGGGUGUCCGGCACGUCUCCCAGAGCCCGUGGCAGGAAAGCGUAAGCCCUAAGAAACUUUGAGCAAAUUUUCAGGGAAGUUGGGUGUUUCCCCAGUAGUGAGGACUGAGAAGUAUGGGGAUGUUCCUGUUCUCUGACUGGUAAGUGCAAAACCACAGCUGUUCUACUUAUAA